UACGUAGGGGGCAAGCGUUGUCCGGAUGUAUUGGGCGUAAAGCGCGUGUAGGUGGCCAAGUAGGUCCGCUGUGAAAACUUGAGGCUCAACCUCAAGCUGUCGGUGGAAACCCCUUGGCUAGAGUCCGGAAGAGGAGAGUGGAAUUCCUGGUGUAGCGGUGAAAUGCGCAGAUAUCAGGAAGAACACCAAUGGCGAAGGCAGCUCUCUGGGACGGUACUGACACUGAGACGCGAAAGCGUGGGGAGCGAACAGG
This 253-nucleotide ribosomal RNA is filed under the name uncultured bacterium. Its description in RNAcentral is "partial 16S ribosomal RNA". It matches the Rfam family "Bacterial small subunit ribosomal RNA", at positions 524 to 776 of the family's 1533-position model. The record is from RNAcentral.